GGAGCUGUAGGGAAGGGGGUUGUGCAGGCGCUCGACGCCGCAGCCUUGGCCCGCUGCGGGGGAGGGCCGAGAAGGGCACUGGGCGCCCAGAGUAACCAACACCGAGACGAAUAGCGAGGGCUCGGGGAGAAAAAACGGAGGAUGGCAAACGGCAAAGCCAAGGGCACGAGAAACCUGUUUAUGCACCCUCCUGCAAUCCCACCACCUGCCCAGGCCAAGUGAGCCCCUCUCCGCUACUGGUGUUUCAUAAUGCUGGGAGCUACUUUGAUUUCAUGCAUUGCCCUUCAGCUGCCAUGUUAUGAGGACACUUGGAGAAAGCUACAGGAGAGGAACUGAGGUCUCCUGCCAUCAGCCACUUGAGUGAGCAUGGGAGUGGAUUCUCCAAACUCCAGUUAAGACUUGAGAUGUCCACAGUGGCAGCCACUAGCUUGACUGCAACUUACGAGAGACCCUGAGCCAGAGGCACUCAGUUAAGUCAUACACAGUUUCCUGACCCGUAAAACCUGUGACACAAUGAAGGUUUGUUGUUUUGGGGGUAAUCCGUUAUUCAGCAAUAGAUAACGAAUACAGAAGGCUUGUAAUUGUAUAACCAACGUGAGUUUAUAAGCGGAUAUCUGACCUCAUUUGUUUUCUCCUGAAAAAGUUAUAGAAAAAUCACAAGACUGCAAGUCACUCUCUCUCUUUCUUUUGUGGGGAAUAAACAAGUAUAAUUACAAUUUCUAAACCUAUUGUUUUAUUCUCAAAUAUAAUUACAAUUUAAACAGGAUAUUGUAGAGCUCCAUCAUAGGGAUUAACACUAAUUAGAAUUAAAGAACGUUUUUGUGAAAGUCAGCUUUUUUUUUUUAAAUAAACACUCGUCCCUUGAUAAUGUAUUUCUUUUUCAUAAAAUUAAAAAAAAAAUGUGGGUUGUAGUAGGUGUAUAUAUUUAUGUGGUACAUGAGAUGUUUUGAUACAGGCAUGACGUGUAAUAAUCACAUCAUGGAAGAUGGCGUAUCCAUCCCCUCAAGCAUUUAUCCUUUGUGUUACAAACAAUCCAGUUACACUCUUUUUGUUAUUUAAAAAUGUACAAUUAAAUUAUUAUUGGCUAUAGUCACCCUGUUGUGCUAUCAAAUAUUAGGUCUUAUUCAUUCAUUUAACUAUUUUUUUGUACCUAUUUAUCAUCCCCAUCCCCGGUUCCCUCCCACCACCCACCCCACUACCCUUCCCGGCCUCUGGUAACCAUCCUUCUACUCUCUAGCUCCAUGAGCUCCAUUGUUUUGAUUUUUAGCUCCCACAAAUAAAUGAGAACAUGUAAUGUU
This is a long non-coding RNA of Homo sapiens (human), 1298 nucleotides long. Ensembl annotates it as long intergenic non-protein coding RNA 629. The record is from Ensembl. Lineage: Eukaryota; Metazoa; Chordata; Mammalia; Primates; Hominidae.